This 688-nucleotide ribosomal RNA is filed under the name uncultured Actinomycetes bacterium. Its description in RNAcentral is "bacterial SSU rRNA". It matches the Rfam family "Bacterial small subunit ribosomal RNA", at positions 54 to 759 of the family's 1533-position model. The record is from RNAcentral. Lineage: Bacteria; Bacillati; Actinomycetota; Actinomycetes.
CAUGCAAGUCGAGCGGUAAGGCCUUUCGGGGUACACGAGCGGCGAACGGGUGAGUAAAACGUGGGUGACCUGCCCUCCACUCUGGGAUAAGCCCGGGAAACUGGGUCUAAUACCGGAUAUGACCUUCUCCUGCAUGGGGGUUGGUGGAAAGUUUUUCGGUGGGGGAUGGGCCCGCGGCCUAUCAGCUUGUUGGUGGGGUGAUGGCCUACCAAGGCGACGACGGGUAGCCGGCCUGAGAGGGCGACCGGCCACACUGGGACUGAGACACGGCCCAGACUCCUACGGGAGGCAGCAGUGGGGAAUAUUGCGCAAUGGGCGAAAGCCUGACGCAGCGACGCCGCGUGGGGGAUGACGGCCUUCGGGUUGUAAACCUCUUUCGCCAGGGACGAAGCGCAAGUGACGGUACCUGGAUAAGAAGCACCGGCCAACUACGUGCCAGCAGCCGCGGUAAUACGUAGGGUGCGAGCGUUGUCCGGAAUUAUUGGGCGUAAAGAGCUCGUAGGCGGUCUGUCGCGUCGAUCGUGAAAACUUGGGGCUUAACCCUGAGCUUGCGGUCGAUACGGGCAUGACUGGAGUUCGGCAGGGGAGACUGGAAUUCCUGGUGUAGCGGUGAAAUGCGCAGAUAUCAGGAGGAACACCGGUGGCGAAGGCGGGUCUCUGGGCCGAUACUGACGCUGAGGAGCGAAAG